Triticum urartu is the source of this 121-nucleotide non-coding RNA. The record is from Rfam. Lineage: Eukaryota; Viridiplantae; Streptophyta; Magnoliopsida; Poales; Poaceae.
AGAUGCAAUCAUAUACCAGCACUAAAUCACCGAAUCCCAUCAGAACUUUGAAGUUAAGCGUGCUUGGGCGAGAGUAGUACUAGGAUGGGUGACCUCCUCGGAAGUCCUGGUGUUGCAUUCC